GCCAGGGUUGUGGCUAAGUGGUAGAGUGUUUGCCUAGCAUGCGUAUGGCAUUGGUUUCGAUCCCUGGCA
This 69-nucleotide transfer RNA is filed under the name Marmota monax (woodchuck). RNAcentral describes it as "tRNA.Ala". Lineage: Eukaryota; Metazoa; Chordata; Mammalia; Rodentia; Sciuridae. The record is from RNAcentral.